RNAcentral lists this unclassified non-coding RNA (345 nucleotides) under soil metagenome. Its description in RNAcentral is "partial contains 5.8S ribosomal RNA, internal transcribed spacer 2, and large subunit ribosomal RNA". The stretch from base 1 to 119 matches the Rfam family "5.8S ribosomal RNA", at positions 35 to 154 of the family's 154-position model. The record is from RNAcentral.
GAUGAAGAACGCAGCGAAAUGCGAUACGUAAUGUGAAUUGCAAAUUCAGUGAAUCAUCGAGUCUUUGAACGCACAUUGCGCCCCCUGGUAUUCCGGGGGGCAUGCCUGUCCGAGCGUCAUUGCUGCCCUCAAGCACGGCUUGUGUGUUGGGCCCCGUCCUCCGAUCCCGGGGGACGGGCCCGAAAGGCAGCGGCGGCACCGCGUCCGGUCCUCGAGCGUGUGGGGCUUUGUCACCCGCUCUGUAGGCCCGGCCGGCGCUUGCCGAUCAACCCAAAUUUUUAUCCAGGUUGACCUCGGAUCAGGUAGGGAUACCCGCUGAACUUAAGCAUAUCAAUAAGCGGAGGA